RNAcentral lists this ribosomal RNA (670 nucleotides) under uncultured Pseudomonadota bacterium. RNAcentral describes it as "bacterial SSU rRNA". It matches the Rfam family "Bacterial small subunit ribosomal RNA", at positions 44 to 719 of the family's 1533-position model. The record is from RNAcentral. Lineage: Bacteria; Pseudomonadati; Pseudomonadota.
AUGCCUAACACAUGCAAGUCGAACGAGGGUAGCAAUACUCUAGUGGCGGACGGGUGAGGAAUACGUAGGAAUUUGCCCUUAAGUGGGGGAUAACCCGGGGAAACCCGGAUUAAUACCGCAUGAUCUUUUCGAAGCAAAGCCGGGGACCGCAAGGCCUGGCGCUUUUGGAGAAGCCUACGUCGGAUUAGCUAGUUGGUGAGGUAAUGGCUCACCAAGGCUGCGAUCCGUAACUGGUCUGAGAGGAUGAUCAGUCACAUCGGAACUGAGACACGGUCCGAACUCCUACGGGAGGCAGCAGUGGGGAAUAUUGGACAAUGGGCGAAAGCCUGAUCCAGCAAUACCGCGUGUGUGAAGAAGGCCUUCGGGUUGUAAAGCACUUUAGGUCGGAAAGAAAAAACUUGAGUUAAUACCUUAAGUCUUGACGGUACCGACAGAAUAAGCACCGGCUAACUCUGUGCCAGCAGCCGCGGUAAUACAGAGGGUGCAAGCGUUAAUCGGAUUUACUGGGCGUAAAGCGUGCGUAGGUGGCUGUUUAAGUCGGAUGUGAAAGCCCUGGGCUUAACCUGGGAACUGCAUUCGAUACUGGAUAGCUAGAGAUCGGUAGAGGGCAGCGGAAUUCCGGGUGUAGCGGUGAAAUGCGCUAGAUAUCCGGAGGAACACCGAUGGCGAA